RNAcentral lists this ribosomal RNA (1517 nucleotides) under Bacteroides fragilis CL03T12C07. RNAcentral describes it as "bacterial SSU rRNA". It matches the Rfam family "Bacterial small subunit ribosomal RNA". The record is from RNAcentral. Lineage: Bacteria; Pseudomonadati; Bacteroidota; Bacteroidia; Bacteroidales; Bacteroidaceae.
AGAGUUUGAUCCUGGCUCAGGAUGAACGCUAGCUACAGGCUUAACACAUGCAAGUCGAGGGGCAUCAGGAAGAAAGCUUGCUUUCUUUGCUGGCGACCGGCGCACGGGUGAGUAACACGUAUCCAACCUGCCCUUUACUCGGGGAUAGCCUUUCGAAAGAAAGAUUAAUACCCGAUAGUAUAAUGAUUCCGCAUGGUUUCAUUAUUAAAGGAUUCCGGUAAAGGAUGGGGAUGCGUUCCAUUAGGUUGUUGGUGAGGUAACGGCCCACCAAGCCUUCGAUGGAUAGGGGUUCUGAGAGGAAGGUCCCCCACAUUGGAACUGAGACACGGUCCAAACUCCUACGGGAGGCAGCAGUGAGGAAUAUUGGUCAAUGGGCGCUAGCCUGAACCAGCCAAGUAGCGUGAAGGAUGAAGGCUCUAUGGGUCGUAAACUUCUUUUAUAUAAGAAUAAAGUGCAGUAUGUAUACUGUUUUGUAUGUAUUAUAUGAAUAAGGAUCGGCUAACUCCGUGCCAGCAGCCGCGGUAAUACGGAGGAUCCGAGCGUUAUCCGGAUUUAUUGGGUUUAAAGGGAGCGUAGGUGGACUGGUAAGUCAGUUGUGAAAGUUUGCGGCUCAACCGUAAAAUUGCAGUUGAUACUGUCAGUCUUGAGUACAGUAGAGGUGGGCGGAAUUCGUGGUGUAGCGGUGAAAUGCUUAGAUAUCACGAAGAACUCCGAUUGCGAAGGCAGCUCACUGGACUGCAACUGACACUGAUGCUCGAAAGUGUGGGUAUCAAACAGGAUUAGAUACCCUGGUAGUCCACACAGUAAACGAUGAAUACUCGCUGUUUGCGAUAUACAGUAAGCGGCCAAGCGAAAGCAUUAAGUAUUCCACCUGGGGAGUACGCCGGCAACGGUGAAACUCAAAGGAAUUGACGGGGGCCCGCACAAGCGGAGGAACAUGUGGUUUAAUUCGAUGAUACGCGAGGAACCUUACCCGGGCUUAAAUUGCAGUGGAAUGAUGUGGAAACAUGUCAGUGAGCAAUCACCGCUGUGAAGGUGCUGCAUGGUUGUCGUCAGCUCGUGCCGUGAGGUGUCGGCUUAAGUGCCAUAACGAGCGCAACCCUUAUCUUCAGUUACUAACAGGUCAUGCUGAGGACUCUGGAGAGACUGCCGUCGUAAGAUGUGAGGAAGGUGGGGAUGACGUCAAAUCAGCACGGCCCUUACGUCCGGGGCUACACACGUGUUACAAUGGGGGGUACAGAAGGCAGCUAGCGGGUGACCGUAUGCUAAUCCCAAAAGCCUCUCUCAGUUCGGAUCGAAGUCUGCAACCCGACUUCGUGAAGCUGGAUUCGCUAGUAAUCGCGCAUCAGCCACGGCGCGGUGAAUACGUUCCCGGGCCUUGUACACACCGCCCGUCAAGCCAUGGGAGCCGGGGGUACCUGAAGUACGUAACCGCAAGGAUCGUCCUAGGGUAAAACUGGUGACUGGGGCUAAGUCGUAACAAGGUAGCCGUACCGGAAGGUGCGGCUGGAACACCU